ACCCUGGCACCUCCCCACAGCCCCGCAUCGGACCCAAGGACAGUCCCAGGAGACGUGGGGGCGCUCACCCCUUUCGUGGACGGGAAACUGAGGCAGGCGGGUGAAGGUCGGCUCACAUGCGGAGCUCAGGCAUCACCCUAUGUUCCAGGUGAGCCACUGAGGCUCAGGGAGGACAGAGGUGAAGGAUCUUGCCCCAGUCACAGGAGGAAUCACAGGCAGAAAGGGGGAGAUGGAAAGAGGUAGGAGGGAGAGCAGGGAAGGAGAGGAGGGACUGGAGGGGGCAGAAGGAAGGGGAGGUGGCUGUCCCAGGAUGGAGUCAGGGGCCAUCCUCAAAGUCCAGCUUCAGCUUCUCCAGGUUUUUGCCCACAUCCUGGGACAGGGGGCUCCUCUCCCCCUGGACAUACUCAUCCGGUGGGCAGCUGUGCCUGCUAGGAAGGCCUUCUACCCACCUCCCAGACAUCCCACAGGGAAGCAACUUUCACUCCCAGACCGCUGGUGCUCCCCUGCCUCCCAGGCCUGGGGUGGGUGUGGGUGAGGACGCUGCAAGGUAGUGGUCAGGACACAAGCAUCAGCAUCGGACAUCCCUGGUUCAAGUCCUACUCAGAGUGGGAAGGACACAGACUUUGCAGUGAUUCCUUGUGUGUGACUCCCAGCUUCACCACUCCUGGUUGUGCAACCUCAGACAAAUGCCUUGACCUCCCCUGGCCUCAGCUUCCUUAUCUGUCAAGUGGGGUAUUCCUAGUCUCCCCAGGCCACUGAGGGGCAUGGUGGGAAUGGAUAAGAAUGUGGGUGUGAGCUGUAUGCAUGGGAGGGAUUGAUUAUGUUCCAGUAUGUGCCUGCUAGGAAGGCCUUCCACUCACCUCCCAGACAUCCCACAGGGAAGCAGCUCAUGUUCACUGAGCACUGACGGGAUGGCUGGUCCUACAUGAAGUCCCAGGAAAGACCUGUGCAUGAAGUCCCAGGGAAGACCCUGACCCGCUCCCUGUGCAGGCAGGGUAGACAGACACUUGAACAAAUAACCACAGUCCAAGACACAAAUGCAGAUCAUUUUCAGAUGCAUUUAAUUCUGAACAGCCCUGUGAGGAGGGCAGGACAAAGAUUAUUAUCCCAUUAGACAGAUGAAGAAGCUGAGGUCCAGAUAAAUCAAGUGAGUUGCUGAAGGUCACACAGCAAUGAGGGGCAGAGCUGGGUCUUGACCCUGGAGCCCUUUUCACUCUGGGGGUACCAGGCCUGCCAGAAAGGUUAUCACCAAAGGGUUCUGGAAGAGUGACCUCCUCAAACUUUCCCUGUCCUCAGACUGGCUUGUGGCCUGAGAGUCCGCUAUCAGCACAUCAUACCUUUGGCUAAAAAUGUGCUAAAAAUGUGCCAGCCCCUCCAGUGUCAAUCAAAUGGCCAUCAGUCAUUUACACUUGAGUGUGGAGAAGCCGAUCAGAUUUUAUGGGUUGGAGAUGAGAAGGAAUCUUGAGUGUUUGGACUUUUGGGUGGGAAACUGGAGAUAUGAGAGGAAAGUUUGACAGCAGAGAGAACUCAGGAGGUGGGUGGGGAGGGAGUCAUGGUUAACUGGAGGAUGGAGUGAGUCCGCAUGACCUAGACACCUCUGUGUACCUCACCUCCAUGAAGUAUAACCAAUGUCUGGCACUCGUGGAGCACUUAGGAUAUACCAGACACUGUGCUCUCUCCUUUUUUUUGAGAUGGAGUCUUGCUCUGUCACCCACGCUGGAGUGCAUUGGCAUGAUCUCAGCUCACUGCAACCUCCACCUCUCCGGUUCAAGCAAUUCUCCUGCCUCAGCCUCCCGAGUAGCUGGGACUACAGGUGCAUGCCCAGCUAAUUUUUUUUAAAAACAUAUUUUAGUAGAGACCGGGUUUCACCAUGUUGCCCAGGCUGGUCUCCAACUCCUGAGCUCAGGCAAUCAGCCCGCCUUGGCCUCCCAAAAUGCAGCCGCUCUCUCCUUUAAUCUUUUUGUUUGUUUGUUUUUAAGACAGUCUCACUCUGUCGCCCAGGCUGCAGUGCAGUGGCACAAUAUCAGCUCACUGCAACCUCCACUUCCCAGGUUCAAGCAGUUCUCCUGCCACAGCCUCCAGAGUAGCUGGGACUACAGGUGUACACCACCAUAUUCAGCUAAUUUUUUUGUAUUUUUAGUAGAGAUGGGGGGGGUCACCAUGUUGGCCAGGCUGGUCUUGAACUCCUGAGAUACCCCUGCCUCAGCCUCCCAAAGUGCUGGAAUUACAGGUCUGAGCCACCAUGCCCGGCCUCUCCUUUACUCUUCAUGGCAACUGUUAUCUUUCUUUUUACAGAUGAGAAAAGGGAGGCACAGAGAGGCUAAAUAAUUUGGCCAAGAUCACACAGAAGCAGAGGAGCAGAAGGGUGGACCCAGGCAGGCCAGCUCUGCAGCCCCUGCUCUUGGCCACCAUGGGCUCCUCCUCUGGGCUAACCCAGCCCUUGCCAGAAUCCUACAUGGAAAGUAUUAUCAUCCCAUUGAAUAGAAGAGGAAAUGGAGGCACAGAGGGGCCCCAGGAUGGCAGAAUUAGUAACUGGGGUUGGGGGGAGCUGGGAUUAGACCCAGGUCUGAAAGCCAGGCCUUCCCUCUACCCUUCCUAUUUGCCAAACACCCGGGCCCCAUCCUGCCCAAGGUCAGCAGCCCAGGUGGCAGGAUGUGCUUCUGCCUGGUGCUGGCCUUGGGGAGCACUUGUUUUUCCCCAGAGGAAGCAGCAGGUGUGGCCUUCUUUAUGGAAAUGAUCCUAACUGGGUUGGAGCCAGGAUUCCCCCCAACACACACCCAGGCCAGGAGGACUUCAAUAGGACUAGGUCAGAGCUUCUAGGCUUGGAUGGAGGGGCUGGAAUUUGGGAGAGGGGCUCGGAGGUCAGUCCCAUUUUGGUAAGCCUCUCACCCUCUGGACUCCAUAUCUCCUGCUAAUCGCACUCCUUGGAUGAGACAGUGACAUGGAAGUGCCUCCCAGCUCAGCCCUGGGGAGACCUCUCCAAGGUCACUGAAGGAAGCUGGGGGCAUGCCCCUACCCUUCUUUCUGGAGCAGAGCCCUGGGACCUUCUGGAGUCCCAGUCAGGCUGGGGUCUACAAGGGUUAAGACUCCAAGUGACUUCUCUGUCUGCCCCUCAUGCAGAUAAAAGUUUCCAUUCAAGGAAGAGCUGCCUUAGGGCUGCCAAGUUAUCCUGAUUCUGUCAUUGUAGCAUCAAGGUGGGGGCCUUGGGCCUUCCCAGCCUCUUCAAGGGGACAUUCUUGGGUGGGAUGUGGCUCCUAACUGGUGUCACCACCUCAAAGGCCAAUAUCCCAAGACCCAGAAUUCCCACGUUGGACUCAGGGACUGGCGAGAUCACACUGACUCCUUCUGCCAGGGCCCUUUAAGAGCCGCCCAUCCCGCCCAUGAUGCUCCUGCUUAGUGAGUCAGACACUUGCAUUAGGCCCCAGGGGAGGAAGAGAAACAGGCCUCAGAAAGCACUUGGAAGGGCAGGGAAGGGCUGGGAAGAAACCUGGCUCAGAAGAUGGUGCCCUCCCCUCACAUAUUCCCAGACUGGAAGGGGCAUCUUACUUCUGAGCUCCCCACAGCCCCAGCCUCCUGGCUGUCUCUCCUGGCUGCUGAAAUAAAGGCCAAGCCCUUUUAUCACCUUUGUUAUGUGACCCUGCCUGCUGGUUGGGCCUCAUCUCUCGCCCCUAGUUCUUUGCUUUCAGGGCCACACCAGCCCUCUUGACUGUUCUUGAAUCCAUCAUGAUUCUUUCUACCCCAGGGACCUUGCACUAGCCAGCAUCUUGCUGCGCUUCCUCCCGUCUCAAUUGGCUAAUGUGGGAGAGGCAUUUUCUUUACACACCCAGAGAAAAUAGAGCCUGCUACCUUCCAAGACUGAGAGGGUUGGAAGAAACUUUUUGUAUUGUAGCUUGAGGGUGGGAAGGAGAAGACACAAUUUGAGCAUAAGAAGGUGAGCUGGAAGCUGGGCACGGUGGCUUAUGCCUGCAAUCCCAGUGUUAGGAAUGCUUGUUCUCCACUGCUGCAAAGAAAUAGCACUCAAACAUAAAUUUAAUUUUCUCAGCAAGCAAUUUUUAGUUUCUGUAGAAAGGGUGCUCCUCAUAGAUGGAACAAUGGUGAGAGCACAGUUGAACAAGGGAGGGGAAGGGGUUCUUAUUCCUGACCCAGGUAAUCCCUGCUGCUAUGUUGUUCCCCUGUUGGCUAAGGUUGGACCGCACGGUCUAAGCUAAUUCCGAUUGGCUAUUUUAAAGAGAGCAGAGGUAUGAGCCAGAGUGGCGAGGUGAGUAGUUUGGCAGGAAGGACAGUUAGGAACGGGUAACUAAAGGUGACUUACAUCAGAGCAGGUGACCAGGGGUGACUCAGGUCAAAGCAGGUGACUGGGAUGAGUCAGGAUGGAGCAAGUGACCAGGGGAACAGGUGUGAACUACUGAAUAAAACUGAUGGAAAAGGUUGUUUACUGAAAUUAGAAGCAAGGGGGCGAAGAGAACCAGGAAGUUAAACUUUAAAAUGGAGAAUCAAAGAAUAAGAGAGCUGAACAUACAGACAUACUGAUUCUUUGAAGAAAAACUUGGGGUUCACCAUAUUUAACAUGAGCACUUUGGGGGGUUGAGGCAGGUGGAUCACUGCAGGUCAGGAGUUCGAGACCAGCCUGGCCAACAUGGUGAAACCCCGUCUCUACUAAAAAUACAAAAACUAGCUAGGUGUGGUGGCGGGUGCCUGUAAUCCUAAAUACUUGAGAGGCUGAGGCAGGAGAAUUGCUUGAACCUGGGAAGUGGAGGUUGCAGUGAGCUGGGAUUGUGCCACUGCAUGCCAGCCUGGGUCACAGAGAGACUCCGUCUCAAAAAAAAAAAAAAAAAAAAAGGUGAGCUGGAAAUAAGCUCAGGCUCGUGAGCAGUUUAUCUUCUGGAAUAAAGUCGUUUGCCUUUUUAAAGGCUCUGUCUUCCUCCAUUUCUACCAGAAACCAGACCUCUGAGGGCCCCUUCCCCUCCCACCAUCCUCAGGAUCUGAAGCCCUGGUCCUCCCUCACUUUCUGUCCAGCACUGGAACCCCAAGGGACAGAGAGUGUGUGACAGCUCCUGCAGGAAGCUGGUCAGACAAGGAGAGUGCUGGGUUAAAGGGGAUAAAUUUGGAAGGUAUCCAGGGACCUGAUCAGGGAGGAUCGUGAGUCCCAAGGAGAGAAGUUUGGAUUUCUUCCUCCAGUCAUCAUGAAGCUUGGAGGGUUUGGGGGCAGCUGCCUUGGAAGGGCUGAAAAGAGGUGGACGGCACUGGUGAGACAAUCCCUUCCCCCCCCCUCUACCCGCCAGCCACAGAAGAAGGACUCCGCAGCUCUUGGAUACAGCACUUUAAUGCCAGUGGGCCUUUAGGAUAGGGAGGAGUUGGGAGCCAAUCUCCAUCUCCGUACUCCUAACCCAACUUCCACCACGCUGGAGGAGACACCAGGGUUCCAGCUGUGAGCCUGGUGCUUGCCUUCUGCUACAAGCCCCAUCCCGACCUCCUUGGAGACUUCUAGCUCAAGCUCUGGAGGAAAUCCACCAGCAGGUGCUCAGGGAAGCCAAAGUCCAUCUGCAGCAGCAGGAAGCCCUGAAGGGAGGGGCAGUAGGAGAGAGGGGCGAGCUGGGCUGACUCCCAGGCCACCAGGAGGGAGCCAAGCUGGUAGAGGCCCCUCUGUCUGUCUCCCCAACAGCCCCCAGUCACCCCAGGAAUCCUGUCUGGGCCUCUCUCCCCAGGAACAGGGGCUGGUGAGGGGGGCUUUGUACUCACAUCUCGAGUGAUAAUCUCAGGGUUGAUGAUGUCGAAGAGGCUCACGCCUUUGCUGUUCAUGAGGGCUGUAAACACUACCUCGAGCCCUGGGGCAGGGGACAGAGCCCCAGUCAGCCCUUCUUGGGGAGCAAGGCCGGCCCGAGGCUCUGCCACCCUGGGUAGUGGGAGAUGCUGAGACCCUUUUGGACCAAUAUUCUGUAAACAUGCGUUUCACUUUGAUUUAGCAGAGUGAGCAAGUGCUUCUGAGGAUGAGGAAGAGCAGAGUUUGCCUGGCGGCAGGGCUUGCCACUCUGCUGCCAAAAAAAAUUCCCUUCUGCCCCAAACUUGAGCUCCCAACCCAUCCACAAUGGCCACAUGACCUGCAGUUAGCUGAGUCUACCCUGCUAGGAAGGAAACUUUCCCACACAGCUUCUCAAAGUGUUCUUUGCAACCACACAGAGUGGUCUCCUUGCAAGUAGUUGUAGGAACCAUUUAAUCCACAUCCCCUAGUUUUAGCUUCAUGGUUCAGAUGGGGAAAAUGAGGCCAAGAGAUGCCAAGACACCCCACUAGGAUCAUUCCAGUUUCCACGCCCUUCCUCUCCUACCUAAGCCAUGUGGACAAGCAGAUGUUCAAAAGGAAAGCACAGUCAGCUCAACAUACUCUGUGGGGAAGGGAGCAGAAAGCUCUCAGCAGAGCCUGGUCCAAAAUACCCCCAGCACACGUGUGCUAUGGUGUCUGAGAGUCUACCAUCCGAGUCACCUCAAAGGGAUAAAUAUUCUACCAUUUCAAGGUCAAAAGGAAAAUUGGGAAUCAUCAAGUUCAACAUUCUUGUUUCACAGAAAGGGAAACUGAGGUUCAGGGCUGGGCUAGAACUAGGUCUCAGACUCCCAGCCCAGGGGUCUUUCUGCUAUAUCAGGUUGCUAUUAGGAGACCUGCAUCCUGAAAGUGGGUUGAGCCAUCCCGCGGGGUGGCAAAGAUAAUAUUCUGCAGGUAAACCAAGAACAGGGGUCUGGGCAUCUGGCCGAGUCAUUGGCGUGCAAUACCACCAGCAGGGAGAGGAAAGGGGGCCAGGACCGCUAAGUAUCAAUGACUGGGAAGAGGGGCACCUGAAGCUCUGCCUGGGAAGGGCCCACAAGGUGAAAUGGGAAGCUCUGUCAGCCUCGGCACCCAGUUUCCCCUCCAGCCCACACUUACGAGACAUGACCUCAGGGAUGCCCACAGCGGUGAUCAUUGACUGCAGGAAGCUCUGGACGGACUCGGAGCUGCUCUGCCAAUCAAAUGCCCAUGGAGAUCUUGGGCAUCUUGAGGCAGUGGACGGUGACUUGGGCCUGGCUGGGGAAGCCGCCGACAACCUGUGGAAGACAGGGGUCCCAUGGCCAGGACAGGGGCCCAUCAGGGCAGCAGCAGUCCAUGCCCUCGGAGAUGGGAAGGACAAAGCUGGCUCCGGGCCCCAGGGCUGGGGAAAAGGAAGUAGCUCGGGGUAGUGCCCAGGCCCCAGGCUGUGCAAAUUAGGACUCUUGUCCUCUCUGGGCCUCAGUUUCUCAUCUGUGUGCUAGUGAAGCUAUUCCUACCCUGAACUCCUCUCUCAGGAUGUGCUGAGGAUGCCUUCACUUAGCCUUCUGGGCCUCACUUUCCUCAUCUGUAAAAUGGGGAUAAUCAUAGAUCCUACCUCAUAGGGUUGUCCUGAGGAUGGAAUGAGAUAAUCUGUGGAAAGAGCUUAGAACAGGACCUACUGCAUGGUAACCCUCCGAGGGAAGCUGCUGUAGCAGCUGGGCUAGGGGUGGGGAUAGAGCAGAGAGCGCAGGAGCUGCGGGCCAUAUCUGCAGGAGCCCAGCAUUUUCCAGGGCAUCCCAGAACAGAACGUAAAACUGCAGCUGAGGAGUAUUUAAAGGAGAGACACACCAGGCUGUGGCACGAGGGGACCUGACCUAGUCAGGGAGGUGGGAGAGGCCUUCCCUGAGGUGGCAGGAGGAGGAGCAGAUGGCAUGGGGGAGGGCAAACCAUUCUGGCAGAGGGGACAGUGUGGACAAGAGCCCUGUGGAAGGAACAUGGCCAAGAUAAGGAAUGCGCAGGCAGCCAGCGGGGCUGGGGAGUGUGGCCUGAGGACCUUCGAUUACAGCCUGUGGGACUGGGCUCAAGGAGAUCACAUGCCCCAAGAAACCACUGAACCGCUGGAUACACAAGAAAAGGUUUCAUUAAAUACAUAGCUCAGCUCAAAAGAAAGAAAGGGCCGGCGGGGUGCGGGAGCUCACACCUGUAAUCCCGGCACUUUGGGAGGCUGAGGCAGGAGGAUCAUUUGAGGUCAGGAGGUCAAGACCAGCCUGGCCAACAUGGUGAAACCCCGUCUCUACUAAAAAUACAAAAAAAUGAGCUGGGCACAGUGGUGCACCCCUGUAACCCCAGCCAAUCGGGAGGCUGAGGCACGAGAAUUGCUUGAACACAGGAGGCGUAGGUUGCAGUGAGCUGAGAUUGCGCCACUGCACUCCAGCCUGGGGAACAAGAGCGAGACUCUGUCUCAAAAAUAAAUAAAUUAAUUAAUUAAAUAAAAUAAAAUGAAAAUCUCAGUGGGUAAGUAAACAAAUAAGACACAGCUGUAAAAAGAAUUAAUGAACUAAAAAGAUACUUGAAGAAACUAUCCAGAAUUUAGGAUAGAGAUAAAAGAGAUGGAAAACACGACAGAGCAACUAAGAGACACGGAAAAUGGAAUGAGAUGGCCCAACGUGUGUCUCAUGGAAAUUCCAGGAGGUAGGCAUGGAGAAAAUAGGGAUGGGGCAAUCAUGGAAGAGAGAGUGAUGAAGAAAUUUCCAGAGCUGAUGGGCUGGGUGCUGUGGCUCACACCUGUAAUUUCAGCACUGAGGCAGGAGAAUUGCUUGAACCCGGAAGGUGGAGGUUGCAGUGAGUUGAGAUUGUGCUACUGCACUCCAGCCUGGGCCACAGAGCAAGACUCUGUCUUAAAAAAAAAAAAAAGAAAGAAAAGAAAAGAAAUUUCUAGAGCUGACAAAAGACCUCGUCAACUUUCAACUAAACAGUUACAAUUACGCUGGGUGGGAAACAACUAGAUGAAGAAGUAGACAGGAUGAGAAAAUGCAGGGCCCUGGAGGCCAUGGGAGAGCGUUUAGCCUGUAUCCUACACCGGCUUUAAGCAGGCAGGUGAAUGACCAGUUUUAUUUCUUGAAAAGAUUGUUCUGGCUGCUGUGGGGAACAGAUUAUUGGAGGGUAUCAGGACACAGGGAGACCCACCGGGAGCUACAGAUGGGUCCCCACUAGAGAUAAUGGUAGCCUGGGGAGGAGGUAGAGACAGAGAGAAAUGGAAAGACUAGAAAUAGGACAUCAAAGGAACAGGACUCAGACAAGGGGCUAAGGGAGAAGAGCCGGUCAGGGGCCUGCCCAAUAUUGUGAGUUGUGUAUGUGCAAGGAGAGAGGCAUCACAGAGCCGGGGAAGGCUGGACGGCCUGAGUUCAGAAGGGAAGAGGGACCGUCCUCUGUUAGAACAGGAGAACGGCCGCAGGAAGGCGCAGGUGUGGGUGAGUGGGUUGCGACUGGGAGCAGCGACGUGGGGGGGAAGUUCUGUUGGUGGCUCUGCUCAGCUCUCUGGUAAGCAGGUUGUGUGUGGAGAGGGAAGUGGAAGGUAGACAGGAGGGGGCAGCUGGAGAUUUGAGGAUGGCAGGGAAGGCCUGAAGAAGUCAUUGCAGUGGGUGGGGGGAGUGAGGUGACCAGAAAGCUGAGGGAGGCUUACUCAGAAAGCAUGAGGUCCAUUUGAGGUAGGAGAUCAUGGGUUCUUAGUGGAACCCUGCACUGAGGAGUGGGAUUAUGAACAUCAUUGCCACUGGGCAUAGCAAGAAGGGGCUGCGACCUCCAAGGAGCUUGCCUGAAGUCAGCUUUGGGAUCAGGAGUAAUCAACAGUCACUUAUUGCUGGGGCCCUCUGAGCCCAGAGUUGAUCCUGGGGUUCCAGCCCCCUACAAGUCCCUAUGCCUGGGAAAUGGAGCAGGGAAUGGAGCCUUAUCUUUGGGGGCAAUAGAGCUGGGCUCAAACCCAGCCUUGCCAUUCACUAAGUUUCCCUGUGUGUAAAAUGGGGACAGUUUGACCGCCCCACUCAUAGGGUCGGUGUGAGCACUGAAGGAAGUCACACACACUAAGUGCUUCACUCCAUGCCGAACAACCGAGUAGGAGCUGUGUUCGCUGUUAUAAUUGUUGCCAUUGGUGGUGUUAUUGGCUGUGUGGGGGCUCUUGAAGCCAGAGCAGGAUUGGGGUACGUGAGAUAAACCCCACACAGGGGCAGGGGGCAGUUACCUCUUGGAAGAUUUCCUGGUUGGUGUUGAAGCCCCAGGUCUCCAGCACUGCCUGAAAAGAAAUGAGGAAGUUGGAGGGUGGGUGGAGUAAAGUCCACUCCUCAGAAGAAAACUUCGCAGGGACCAAGGGCAGUUUCAAGGACUGGACCCCUCCUCAGACGCAACUCCCAACCUCCCAGACAACAUGUGAGAUGCUCUGGGCAGGGUGUGGAACAGGGAACCCCUGUCCCGGCUGGAGGCCUGGCUUCUGCUCCCCACUGUGCCCCACACAUGCUGUGUGACCUCGCACAAGUCUCUUCCCCUCUGUGGGCCUCAGUUUCCUCAUGAGUUCAAUGACAAGCACAGCCUGGAAACUACCUAAGCAUUUCUAGUACAGUAUAGGUGAAGAGUACAGGCUUUGGGGCCACCUCUUACAGGCUGUGUGAUCUUCAGUAAGUCACCUACCUUCUCUGAGCUUUGUGGUUUUUUUGUUUGCAAAACAGAGGUAACAGUACUUAUUUCACAGGAUGAGUGCAACAAAACAAAGUGUAGCAAAUAUAACUGCAAUAAAUGUAAGUCUAAUAUCAACUUAUAUUUAAUGCACAGUUACUACGUGCCAAGUUAUAUCUAUACCUAAAUCUAUUGAUCACUCUGUCUAUCUAUCCAUCUAUCUAUCUGGCAACACAUAGUUGACUCCAAUAAAUGCUGGACUGUAUUUUUUUCUUGAGAUGGAGUCCUACUCUGUCACCCACACUGGAGUGCAGUGGUGCCAUCAUAGCUCACUGCAGCCUCAACCUCUUGGGCUCAAGUGAUCCUCCCUCCUCAGCCACCUGAGUAGUUGGGACUAUAGGUAUGCACCGCCGUGCACAGCUGAUUUUUAAACUUAUUUUUAUUUUUGUAGAGACAGGGGUCUCCCCAUGUUGCCCAGGCUGGUCUUGAACUCCUGGCCUCCAGGGACCCUCCUGUCUCUGAGAGAAGAGAGACAGACCCUCUCAUAUUGUUUUAUAUUGUUUUAUACUCAGAAAAAGAAAGAGAAGCGAAACUAAAGGCAGGUAGCCCAACGCCUAGAGACCAGACCCGAAACCAAGGAACCAGACCCGAAACCAGGCCUGGGCCUACCUGACCUAAGCCUGGUAGUUAAAGAUGGACCCCUGACCUAACCAGUUAUGUUAUCUAUAGAUUCCAGACAUUGCAUGAAAGAGCAUUGUAAAAAUCCCUGUCCUGUUCUGUUUCGUUCUGAUUACCGGUGCAUGCAGCCCCCAGUCACGUACCUGCUACUUGCUCAAUAGAUCACGACCCUCUCAUGCAGACCCCCUUAGAGUUGUGAGCCCUUAAAAGGGACAGGAAUUGCUCACUCGGAGAGCUCCGCUCUUGAGACAGGAGUCUUACCCAUGCUCCCGGCUGAAUAAAC
Molecule: long non-coding RNA, 11399 nt
Filed under: Homo sapiens (human)
Lineage: Eukaryota; Metazoa; Chordata; Mammalia; Primates; Hominidae
Description: non-protein coding lnc-FAM192A-4:5
Source: RNAcentral